Molecule: small nucleolar RNA, 86 nt
Organism: Bombina bombina (fire-bellied toad)
Lineage: Eukaryota; Metazoa; Chordata; Amphibia; Anura; Bombinatoridae
Product: small nucleolar RNA snR60/Z15/Z230/Z193/J17
Exons: 1
Source: RefSeq, a predicted model, not a curated record
AUCUGACACAAUGAUGAAAACAUAGUUCAGCAGAUGGACCCUGAUGAAUAUUACAGCUUGUCUUUCGCUCCUAUCUGAUGUCAGAU